Drosophila ficusphila is the source of this 3180-nucleotide RNA transcript. It is a transcript of the gene named tropomodulin, with no coding region annotated. The record is from RefSeq and is a predicted model, not a curated record. Lineage: Eukaryota; Metazoa; Arthropoda; Insecta; Diptera; Drosophilidae. The transcript has 9 exons.
AUCAUUCUAACUAGGAAAAUUAGAAGAAGCUAAAACAGAGGCAGCAAGUAGAAGACCCGUGAUCGUGUAAUUCGCCUCGUGCUGAAAGAAAGAAAAAAAAACCAAGCAUUUCUGCGUGUUAUGUGUUAUUGUUGUGAUCAGUGAUCUGUGGAUCAGUGGAACGAACCAAGUGAAAGUGAACACAAGAACGAAGAGAAAGCAAAGUGAAACAACUUGAGUCCUACCAGAAAGGGAAUACAAAUCAGAGAUAAUGUCGGACAUUGAGGAUGUUUUCGGUGGCUCCGCCGAGGAGACCAAGCCCGAACCCGAUGCCGAAAGCAAAACCAGCGUGGUCACCGAACAUACCGAGGAAAUAAUCCCCGGAGAGACCGAGAAAAUGGUCACGGAGACCAUCGACGAGGACGGCGAUGUCGUGGAGGAAACCACCGAAGUUACCCGCAAAACGGUGAAGCGCACCAUGAAGAUCACUGAGACUUCAGCCACCACAAAGACAACCACGCUCACCACCCCGGCCAAACUGUAUGGCAAGGAUCUGAGUGAGUACGACGAUGUGGACGUGGAGAGCCUGCUGGCCCAGCUCUCGCCCGAGGAGAUAACCAUACUGGCCAAAGAAGUGGAUCCCGAUGACAACUUCCUGCCGCCAGACCAGCGCAACAGCUACGAGUGCACCAAGGAAGCCACCGGCCCCCUCAAUCGCAAGCAGCUGAUCGAGCACAUCAACAAGCAGGCGAUCGAGACGCCCGAUCAGCCGGAGUUCGAGCCCUUCGUCCAGGGCAAGGUUCGCGGCAAGAAGUGGGUGCCUCCUCCAAGGGACGCCCGCGAAAUCGAGGCCGAGGAACAGAUCGCCAUCGACAUGGGCGAGGAGUACGAGCACGCCCUCAACGAUGCCACGCAGGAGGAGAUCAUCGACUUGGCCGCCAUCCUGGGCUUCCACUCGAUGAUGAACCAGGAUCAGUACCACGCCUCCUUGCUCAACAAGGGCCAGCCCGUGGGUCUGGGCUGGGACGGCAUCACAAAGUCCACCCAGCAGAAGCUCUUCCCCAUGGAUCCGCCUAACAGCACAGACGUGGAGGAGUCCAUCAAGCGGGUCAAGGACGACGACUCCAAGCUGAUUGACCUCAACUUGAACAACAUUAAGAACAUCUCGGACGAGAAGCUCGAGCAACUGUUUGCCGCACUGCCUCAGAACGAACAUCUAGAAGUCCUCUCGCUGACAAACGUCGGCCUCACCGACAAGACAGCCCUGCUUUUGGCCGAGGCCAUCGAGAAGAGCAAAACCCUGAGAGUAUUAAACGUCGAGACCAACUUCAUCAGUCCGCCCGUGAUCGUUAAGCUGGUGCAAGCCCUGCUCAAGUGCCACACCAUCGAGGAGUUCAGGGCCUCCAAUCAGCGAUCUGCGGUGCUGGGCAACAAGAUCGAGAUGGAGAUCACCGACCUGGUGGAGAAGAACCCGUCCUUGCUGCGCCUCGGCUUGCACCUGGAGUUCAACGACGCCCGCCACCGAGUGGCCGCUCACCUGCAGCGCAACAUCGACAGAAUAAGAAAAGAUCUUGAGUUGCGACUGCAGUUCAGAUUUUUCAAUAAUCUGCAUAGAAAGUCGACAAGAAUUCAAUAAGCAGACCAGAAAGCAAGCAACUAAACCAUUUUUAAAGCGUUUUGUAAUCUAAACCCAAACCGAAGAAAAACAGAAGCACAUAACAACGAAAGAACGUGUAUAAUAUAAUAUAUAAUGAGAAGGAAGCAGGAGCAGAAGUUUAAGCUAAAGAUAACGCAGCCGCGGAGCUCGCAAAAAAAAUCUAUAUCUAUAUACUCUAGAGACUUUAACUAAGCAAAGCAAACUGAAACCAAAGAAACGAAGUGAAUAUCAAACCAAUACAUAAACCAUAUAUAUCGCUAAAGCGCAGAUCGAACAGGCUCAUGACUCUUGGGUGAAAGCAACACCCCGGCAACAUGAGUUGUGUUCGAAGUCGAGUCCUCUUCUAUAACCCAGCCGAAAUCGUUUAGGCGUCACGUGUAUAAUUUUGUCUAACGCUUAACACAGUACGUGUGAAACGCCUGAACCAGCGUAAAUAAAAAGACAAAUUACGAAAUAUGUAGCAGCAACCAACCAACAACAACACGCCACCACCCAAGAACAACAACCAAGCAGAAAGCCAUCUAUGUGUGUGUGUUUUUGUCCAACUCUUGAUUUGAUUUAACUACCAAUUAACAAGUAAACCCAGCAAGAAAACCACCAAACCAAGAACACCACCAGCAAACAAGAACAACAACAACAACAACAUGAGCAACCACGGCAACAAGAACAACAGAUCUAUGUUUAUCCAAAACUCCCCCAACAACCGACCUCUGUACCCCCGAAACCAAUCCAUCAAAAAGAAUCCAACCAACCAGCUGUGAACUAACACCGAAGAAUGAUGUGUGACAUGAAUUGGACGUCAGCGUCGCAUGGGACAUCUGAGCAGGAACUACACCAUUGGCGUUUGGCAGUAGGAUUCACCAAUAUCGGAUAUUGGAGUCAAUACUUUACACCGAAAAAAUGCAAUAGCCUAAACAUCUGGUUGUCAUACUUGUUGUUAUAUUGUUCUGUUUAGUGUUUGUUGCGUUCUCAGAUUAACGAUUUCGGUUCUACAUAGUUUGUGUUCGGUUCACCAUAUAAGCAUAAUCAUUUGUUUGUUACGAGUUAGGCGAAUGUUCAUUGUCACACACACGGAUCAACUUUCUAUCUGGCAGCUCCAAAACCUUUUUCCUUAAGCAAAAUCUUCACAUUUACGCUGCAGCUAUACACGCGUUUUUAUUUUAUUUACCUUCCAAUCUGUCCUUUGUUUUAUGGCCCCUAGACGGGGAAAUGUUUCACAAUUUUUAGUUUUAGUCGUGUUUAUAUCCACACAUGCACACACAUGAUACAAACACAUACACAUAACAUACAUAAUACUUAUACACACUAUAUAUAUAUGAUACAUAUAUAGCCAUGGUCUCUGAAACAAUUUACUGCUAUUGAAUUAUGAAAAUGCUUAAACAUAAAUUUAACUUAUGGUUAAACACACAAAUGAAAAAAAAACAAUCAAUUGUAUAAUGUAAUGAUAUAUCUUACUUUAUAUGACAUAAUGCAAUGCUUUUAAAAUACAAUUUUUAAAAAUCAUGUAAAAACAUUUAAAAUUAAAUAAAAAAAAUACAAAAAUA